RNAcentral lists this non-coding RNA (31 nucleotides) under Mus musculus (house mouse). The record is from RNAcentral. Lineage: Eukaryota; Metazoa; Chordata; Mammalia; Rodentia; Muridae.
UAUUGGCAAAGGUGAAGUACAGAGGACCAAU